UAAAAACGACACAGAUGCAGCAGAUCUGUUGUCAUGGAAACAGGCACUGAAACAUUGAUUGUGCUUUUAGAGGACAUUCAAUGGGAGAGGCUGAAAUGUCCCAGUUCUUCUGUUUUUAGAACAAAAUCAUUAAGAGGGAGGGAUGUUUUUAACAUGGUGGAAAUAAAAAAUCUUGUCUAGAAAAUGAU
Long non-coding RNA from Melanotaenia boesemani (Boeseman's rainbowfish), 188 nucleotides. RefSeq lists it as uncharacterized. The record is from RefSeq and is a predicted model, not a curated record. Lineage: Eukaryota; Metazoa; Chordata; Actinopteri; Atheriniformes; Melanotaeniidae. The transcript has 4 exons.